Long non-coding RNA from Passer domesticus (house sparrow), 8832 nucleotides. RefSeq lists it as uncharacterized. NCBI's taxonomy places the organism in Eukaryota, Metazoa, Chordata, Aves, Passeriformes, Passeridae. The transcript is spliced from 5 exons. The record is from RefSeq and is a predicted model, not a curated record.
UAAAAUCAUAAAUUCUUGCCUUAUGAUUACAAAGAAAUCCCUGAAAUAAGCAUAAUAAAUACACAAACUCCUCUAAGUUUAAUAAAAAGAAGGAGAGGUCCUAUUUGUUUUGUGCGAAGUGCAGACUUUAAAAAACCUCUCCUCUUACACAUAUCUUUCCAGUAAAGGUAAAUAUUAAAAGAAACAUUUUUUUUAGCCUGAGAAGUGUGUAAUCAGUUUAAUAAUAAUAACAACACAAUAACCCAUCCAGGCAGGAAGGGCAGUACUGCUGCAGCUGUGAGCCAUGCAAGCAGGUUCCAACUUCUGCCAUUUAACCCUGGUGAGAAAUUUUCUGCUAGCAAUGGGAAGAGAACAGGCCUGGUGGCUGAAAACAAUAGAAAUUAAAGGGUAUUGAUAUGAUGCAGAAGCCUCCAUUCCAUCCUCAGAGGGAACUGAGCCAUACAGGGUUCCCAGAGUUUCUCUCACCCAUUGAAUCAUCAUGUGAAAUGGACUUUAAUAUUUACACCUCUUCCUUCCUUCCUUCAGCAGUUUUAGUCUGUGCCUAUGGAGCAUGGAGGCAGCUUCCUGGAUGGAAGAACCAAGCUCAUGCCACGUCUGAUUAGGAGACUCUAGAACUCCAAUAGGACUCUCUGUUCCUACCUACCUCAGCCUCAGAGGCCAAGAUCCUUCACAUGAAUGGCAGAUUGUUACAAAUUAAUAAAGAAAAUGAGCAUGAGGGAUGGGAGCUCUGAAGGAGCCAAGGCGUGCCCAGCCCAUCAGAAGAAGAAAAAAAAGAACUGCAGAUAACAUUCUCUCCAGCAUGCAACAGAGGAACUGAGACUGUAAGAAGAUGUCACAGGGAAGGCAGAAGUAAACACAAAGCCAGCUGGAGAGUUCCUGGAACAGGGGAGGAGUGGGACGGCCUGUGAGGCUGGGAUUGACUGAAUCCUCUGUGCAGUCACUCUGGUCACAGUUUCUCCUCUCGUCUCCCUGGGGUGGACAAGCAGGAAAUUGGGUUAUGCUCCCUCAACUUGUGGCUGCACGUGCACAUGCCCAGGGAGAGUGCAGAUGGACCAGGCAGAGAACACAUGGGAUGACACAAUGUGGGUAAAUGGAAAUUUUGCCCAGGUCAAACUGUCAGGACAGAAGACAAGGUAGGAGCAUGCAAUGGGGUUAGAUGUACUCCUGACUAUAUAACAUAGAUGUUUUAAAUGCCUCAGUCCUGAAAACACAGCAUUCUGAAAGAAAACUGUCCCUUUCCUCUCUAACAGGCACAGCUUUCCAGCACUGCCCUGCUUUUGGCACGGGGGGGGACAGGAGAACAUCAGGAACUAAAGGUCCAGGGCAGCUGGAGUGGAGAAAGGGAACCCAAAGAGAGAAAAGGCAUCUCCCAGUGAAACACAUGGAGUAGAGGCAGAGGGAUGCAAGGAAGGGGCAAGGGGCAGAAUGGGAGAUAAAGUUAUCAUGAACACAGAGAGGUAAUUGUGUCAGAGAAGGGAGAGGAGAGGAGAGGAGAGGAGAGGAGAGGAGAGGAGAGGAGAGGAGAGGAGAGGAGAGGAGAGGAGAGGAGAGGAGAGGAGAGGAGAGAAGAGAAGAGAAGAGAAGAGAAGAGAAGAGAAGAGAAGAGAAGAGAAGAGAAGAGAAGAGAAGAGAAGAGAAGAGAAGAGAAGAGAAGAGAAGAGAAGAGAAGCAAGUGCAAAGAGAAGCCAGCAGGAAUGGAGGAAGAGGAGAAUAUGCCGGAAGAAUUGGGUGAUGAGAUCUCCUUGGAAAGACAAGUGUGGUUUUUGUGUAGUGGCUUUCACAGCACUCUGGGAGGGACUCACAGCUCCAUGAGCUGCACUCACAUCCAGUGUCUGAUGCUGCCUUGGAAGUACAAAUCUAUGUGUCCCAAGGAGUGACUCUUUCUUCUGGGCAGCAAAGAAGCUCAGAAGCUGUUGCUGCUCCCAGAGGGGAUUGGCACUGGCAGGAGCUGUUGCCACCUUUGGCACUGGCAGGAGCUGUUGCCAUGUGCAUUUACAAAUGUCCCCACCUCCAGCAGCUCCCGAGCACACCAGGAACUCACCCAGGCCGAGGCAGCCAGGUGCUCACCUGCCUACAGUGGGUGAUGGUCACUGCUGACAGUUCUGCAGCUCCCUGACACAGCCCCUGCCCGUUCUGCUGUGCACUGUGCACUGAGGGGAAAGCUCCCAGCACACCCAUUUAAUUCACAUUCGUAACGGGAGAUUAUAAUUUUCAAAUAUUUGUCAAGAAUUAUCAAGAGCUAUGCCAGAAAUUAUUUGUACAUCAGAGUCACUUAUAAAGUGCAGGAGAAUGCCUGGAGAAGCUGAGGUUUAGAUUGCAAAUAAUGUGGCAUCUUGACAGCUUUUCACUGGGAGUUGCAGCACGUGCGUUUGCACUUCUAUUAUAAAACCUUAUUCAGCUGCUGAAGGGGCUAAAGCCAUUCUUAGGUUCUCUAAAAGAUCUUUUUAAUUUUCAGCUCUCCCUGUGGGAGGCUGGAGGCCAGCUAUUCUUUCCACUUGAAGAGUAGGUACCUACAAUUCUUGACAAGCAAAGUUCUUUGUAGGCAGACAAAAGUAGGCUAAAAGCAAAGAUGCCUGUUAGGAGUUUUUCACCACAUACAGAAACUGAGAAUUGUUGGUUCUUAUCCUAACUUGUCACCCCAUUUCUAACAUAUGCUAAAGAUGGUUAUUCUUGAAGAAAAGACCUUUAUCAAAAGGAAAAAACCCCAUCUUUAUAUUGCUCAUAACAGAGAGUAUAAAAUGUCACUAAUAAAACUAUUCAGCAAAGGCCAAUAAGGUGUUUAAGUGCUCACCUAUGACAAUUUAAAACAUUCACUCAUUCAUGUGUCAGUGGAUGAACAGUAACCCCUCUGGAACAAGUUUAUUACAAUCUUCUCCUGGUUUUGUGUCAGUGGUGUUCCCAGGUAUGUCCUGGACAUGGCUGAUAGAUUUGAAAGGUGCAUGGUCCUGAUGCAGAACCCAAAGCUUUGUCCUCCAGACUGGACCCAGGCAGUCACAUCUGACAGAUCAAAGCAGUUGGACUCCUGAAGAGCCAGGGACUUAGCUCAGCCAUCAUUGCAGUGCUAAGCUUCCUACAAAAACCUCUGACAUUUCCAGGCUCCAAACAGAAUAAAAAUAUUAAAUAAAGCAUCAGACAACUACCAUUCUAUACCUUUAAUACAAACACAGUUAUACUUUAAAAUAAAUCUGACUUUGUUUUUGUAGGCAGAGUUUGUUCCUCAGUACCUAAUUUUAUCUUGGAAGACUUAGUUGCCUAAAUCAAUAUUUACUGCAGUGAUUCAGUAAAACCACCAAAUGCAACAUGUUAUAGAAUCACAGCAUCUUAAUAUUAUAUUUUAAAAGACAUCAAUUUUAAGAACAGGGAUGUAUGAAAUAAACCUGGAAUUAUCCACCCCAAUUUUUGUGCACUAGGUAAAGUUUAUUUCCAUAAAUGAAGGCCUGUAAAGCAAGACACUAUUUUUAUAAUCCCUUUAAAUCAUGUCAGAUUAACAGAUUAGGAAUCAUUCAGCACGUGUCAGCUAAUAAUAUGGGGUUUAGAUUACAAUGAAAAGAGGAUUAAUAGCACCAACAUUAUCCACAUUAUAUGUUCCUUAUGCCACCAGCUCUCCACCAGCCUGAGCCUGACACCAGAGACAGGAAAACCCAGUGGCAGAACUCCUGCAGAGUCAGGAGUCACUCUGGCAUCCCUGUAGCACAUUCCAGUUUUUGCAAAUGCUCAUGAGUGGAGCUGGCUCCUCACAGAUAAGAUAUGAAAACAUGACACAGUCAACUCAUGGCUGAAUAAUCUUCCCACGGGCUUUGGGGGCUGAAUGAUCUUAGCAGUCAGACUCUCAGAAACCCAAUUUUCUAGGUCUUAGACAAUGUUCUUGAUACCAUAUCCUCCUUGUCAACAGAGAAGAAAAAAAAUGAACCCUUUCUUUCCCAAUGUAACAUUUUAAACUGGCCUUUAAGGAUGAGAAACAACCAUGUAUACACAUCCUUCCUAGAUGCAGUUAAUGAAUCCAGAGAAUUUAUUUUAAAAAUUAUAACUAUUAUUUCAUUAUCUGUUUUCUGCGCAUUUGUUGAAGACCAUUUGAAUUUUUGUUUAAACUGGAAUGCACUCCUAACACAGCAUAAAAUAUUAAACAUUUAUAUUUUCAUAAUACUAUUCCCCUUUCCAAGCCAGAUCCCAUCGGUUAAGACUUCUUAGAUCUUUCAAAUGUUCAUCCACUUUUAAACCAAGCUUCUCAGAGUCCUGCUCCAGCAUAUAGAGGCAUGCUAUGUUUGUUUGUUUGUUCUUCAGUUCCUCCCUAAUACUCAACAUUUUGAGUUUUUACAUUUUAAGAAAGGCCAUUUUGUCACCUGCAAGUCCAUCACAAAAGCAUUUUUAAUGCUUUUGUUAAUAAAAAGCCAAAACCUGCUGCAUUUCCUUUUAUGAUCUUGGAAUGAAUUUUCCAGGAUGAAGAAAAAUGCAACAAACCUUCUUGCUGGUUGCAUUAGAAAUAUUUACCCUCAGCAUUAGUUACUAUGAGCUUUUCUCCUGCAUUAUCUCAUUUCUUAUUGAGAAGGUGAACUUUUUUCAUGUUACUUCUUUCAUGUUUUCAUAAUGUUCUCAUAAGUUUUACCACUGACAAAAAUACAGCAGGAGUGAAGCUGGUGGUUUUAACUUUCACUCUCAAGCAGAAAUAGCUCUUUAAAGUAAUAAGUUUUAUUUUAAAGAGACACUCAGAGUGAGGCCUUUUGACUGUUGCAUACCUUGCCUUCUAGUCUAUGCAGAAAAUCAUAAAGUUCUAACAUUCCUUAGAGGAGAAGCUUCUACUUGGUAAGGUGGACAGAGCUGUCCAUCCUUGCCUUCAAACCAUUCUUCAGUCCCACCCAGUGUGUGAGCAGAAGAAAAGUCACAGUCUAAAGUAAACCAGUGACAUCCAGACUGCACCCAGCCAGCCAAUGUGGAGCUCAGCAAUUCCUGCCCAUCAGCACUGCAGAGGAAAUACCAACUGCAGCAGAACAAUCUUGGAUCCUGUCCCUGAGUGUCCAAGAAUGUGACAUGUUUCCUCAGUGCACGGCUGAGAGAAAGUCACGUAAAUAACCAUUGUGACUCAGGAGGAAUUCACACAAAAUGCCCAUAGGGGAAGAAACACCUACUUGGCAGUCAGCGGUUGUUUCUCAAAAGGGUCAUUUCAUCCUAAUCCUUCUGUCUGGACCCUCAGGGGAAACCUUCUGAGGAUGAUCCUGGUAGCUAUGGAUUCAUUUAUAACUCUGCACAAUCCCAGAAAUAAGAGGAUUUUCAGAGAUAUAUUUUUGACAUUUUAUAAACUCUCUUGUCCACUGCUAACCUCUCCAUGCUGUACAGGUUAUAGAGCACAAGUCUCUCUAUUUUUUAACCCAGAAGGGAGCAAGCCUGAAAUUUCCCAUAUCUCAUUCAUCCUCCUCUGUCCUGCAGUGAGGAGCCCCACUCUUCACAGGGACCCAUCACCUGCACUAUUAAGCACUAUAACUAACCCAAAUAAUCAAAUUGGUACAUACCCAUCUAAGCCCUGAGCCAUCAUCCUCCAUUCAUCUUUAUCUUACAGACUCAAAGAAUCAUGGAAUAGUUUGUGUUGGAAGGGAUCUUUAAAGAUCAUCCGGUCCAACCCCCAGAUCUUUGAAAUCUGUUGCUUUUAUUUCAGAACAAUGGCUUUGUGUGUCUGAGAUAUUUUCUGAAUUCUUCAACUCUGACAGCUGGCGUGUUAGAAAAUUAUUUCCUCUCCCUACAAGCCUCAUAGCUGCAGCAAAAUAACCCACACUGCCUUUAUCUGAUGUCCCACCAUCAAUAUAUCUAUGCCUUGUUAAGGUGCUAGAAAAGCCAUACCAUACUUUACAGUAAUUUCUUAGUUUUUAAUUAAGCCUGCACAAUAUGUCCAUCAUUUAACAAUACACUGCAUACACAUGUACGAAAGGGAGGCACUGAUGACUGUGUGGGUUUUUUCACAUUUAUUCCUAUGUGAACAGUUCUGUGGCUGUACCACUGCCUUAAACUCUUCUAUAUAUUUAUUUAAUACUUCUAAUACAAUUGACACUGAUAGCUCACAUUUUGAUUACCAUAGGCUAGAUCUUUUUACUGUAAUUUUUCUGUGUGGAAUACAUAACCCAUUUCUGCUGUACAAAGGAACAGAAUUUACAGCUUAGUUCAUCUUGCAGUGCUGGAGAUCUCUGUGAAGUCGAAGUUCUCUGCAUCCAUGGAAGGAAUAGCAAGUCAAAGCUAAUUAGUGCAGUGAGAAUCUGGGAGGAGAAGUUGCUUCCUGUCUUUGAAAUUUUCCACAUCUUGGGUGAGCUGAUCAGGCAGUGAGUGCUUUGUGACAAGCUGCAAGGCUGAUUAUACACUUUCAUUUGCUAUGAGUUUUAAAUUGUAUUUCCACACUAAUAUGCAGUUGUUUCCUAAGUGAGUAUGUGGUGUUUACUUAGGCAAGAAAAAUACUUUUUUUUUUUGUGUACAAGGCUUUAAAAUUUUGUAUUCAUAGAAUCUGAGUAAUGCACUUAAUGGUAAGUAAUUCUUUUCCCUUUACUCCCCAGUAGGUUUUAGUGAGAGAAGCUUCCUCAAGAGACCUGUCAGAAGAGAGGGAAAUAUGCUGGUCUAUUACAGCUAUGUGGGAAACAGUAAUGUAGUAAUUGUAAUAUUUAUUAAGCUUCAGAUGUUAUACAAGCUACAACUUUUAGCUUGUAUUUUUCUUUCAUCGGGGAUUUAGCAAGAAUAACAGAGCUUUCUAGCACAUUCAAAAUUCAGCGUGUCAUGUCCUGGUGUAUGAAAUUGGAGCUAUUCCAAACAAUAUUCAUUGAAAACUAGCAACUUUUACUUUUCUUACUUCACAUUUUUGUGUCCAGCCAAUAUAAGUGUAAAUAUUAUUUAAUCAGAAAUUUAGAUGGUCUUGCAUGAACACAAGAAAGGGAAAUGAGGAAGGCAACAAUGCCUUCCUUCUUGUUUAUCUGCUUCUGCUGCUGCCUCUGUAUAAUAUGAAGACAACAUGAAGUUUGUAAAAGUGCUCCAAGUUAACUUCAGUAGUGUCACAAAAGCAAUCUUCGAUUUCUCAUCUCUCUUUUUGGUCUUUCACUAUGAGAUUAAAUAGUUAGGAAACAAUAUUCCUUCCAGAAAAUAAAGAAAUAGAGAUUGAGAAAACUCUUUUCCAGAUGGUUUUGAAUUAAUCAGGUACUUUUCCCAGAUAGUAAGAUAUACUGGCAUGACUUAAAAUACUGGAUAAUAAAUUUUGCCAUUGAGGGCAUCUGUACAACUUUGAAGGAUGACCUUUGCACACUAUUAAAGGUAUGCAAAAACUGAUCAGCCACGUGUAGAAAUUGAAAAAAACCCCAGGUAUGAUCUUGAGGAAUUUUUCACACGUAUGAGACAGAGCCAAUCUGGAAUUUAUUUGUUCUUGCAAGCACCAUCAGCAUCUAAAUUCAGCAUGCUUAGGGCAACUCCAAGAUUCUACACCUGAAAAAUGUGUGCAGUGUGAUAAGCCCUGCACUUCCAGAGUCCCCAUGAAAAUUUUUAAGCAAUUCUUUCAGGAAUAAAUUUAUGUGUGGCUCUCAAUAACAAUAUGGACACAGAAUUUUCAAUCUACACAUGAAGCAAUGGUUGUCUUGUAAUUUCUACUCCCUGAUAAAAUGAAUUAAGCCUUUCAAGGAAGGAAAUGAACAAUAGUGAAGUUGAGCAGUGAAGAUCUUCCUGUGCAGGACAGACACUCAGAAGAUCAACUAGAAGAACAGCUGACCAAAGCUGGAAUCACACAAAUGUGCACAAACACUGAGCAAAGGGCAUGACUGUGGUUCAGUCAAACAGCUGUUUGCUAUUAGAAUGAGGGUUUUCAAGUACUGUGUAGGUAAUACUUGGACAGUGCAGCCCAUUGUUUAGGGUAAGUUAAAGAAACCAUUCCUGGAAAGAAUUGUUUGUGGUCAGACUCUCAUUAUCACAUCUCUUUUCUCACCCCAUCUUUCUCUCUCACUGGCUGCUGUGGCACCUCAUCUAUGUCUGGUGAAACAGAUAAGUGGUUGCCAUGAAGGCACUACGGGCAGCAGUCGUUCCAUCUGCCCCCUGAGCACCUCUGAUGCUGUGGGCAGCACGUUUCUGUCCUGUGGCCCAGGCACUUUGUGACCCUCAGCUGUCUGUGUGCUAUGAGGGAAACUGUGGUGGGCUCACCCUGCCUGGGUGCCAGGUGCCCACCAAAGCCACGCUGUCACUCCCCUCCUCACUCUCAGGGCAGAGAAAAUACACCACAAGGUUCAUGUGUGAGAUGAGGACAGGGAGAGGUCACUCACCAGUUACUGUCACGGGCAAAACAAGCUCAAUUUCAGGAAAUUAAUUUAUCACCAGUCAAAUCAGAGUAGGGUAAUGAGAAAUAAACCCAGAGAUUAAAAAAGCACUUUCCCCCCAGCCCUCCCUUCUUCCUGGGCUCAGCUUCACUCCUGAUCCUCUCCCCCAGCAGUGCAGAGGGAUGGGAAAUGGGGACUGCAGUCAGUUCACUGCACAUUUCUCUACCACUUCUUCCUCCUCCAAGGGAGGACUUCUCAAACUCUCCCCUGCUCCAACUUGUGUUCUUCCCACAGGCUGCAGUUCUUCAUUAAUUGCUCCAGUGUGAGACCCUCCCUCGGGGUGCAGUCCUUUGGGAACAGUCUGCUCCAACAUGGGCCCCUCAUAGGGUCACAAGUCCUGCCAGCAAACCUGCUCCAGCAUGGACUCCUGUCUCUAUGGGGUCACAGCUCCUGCCAGGAGCCUGCUCCAGUGCAGGGGUCUCAUCCUUCUCUGGGUAUCCACUUGUUCCAACAUGGGAUCCUCCAGGGGCUGCAGGUGGAUCUCUGCAUCCCCGUGUCCUCCAUGGGGUCA